This is a long non-coding RNA of Antechinus flavipes (yellow-footed antechinus), 1413 nucleotides long. RefSeq lists it as uncharacterized. The transcript is spliced from 2 exons. Lineage: Eukaryota; Metazoa; Chordata; Mammalia; Dasyuromorphia; Dasyuridae. The record is from RefSeq and is a predicted model, not a curated record.
CUGGAGGGCGUGCUUGGGCUCAUGCCUCAGCGGCUUGGGCUGGGCCUUGGGGCUGCUGCCGUCGGGCCCAUGCUGCAGAUCUCAGUGUUUUUGCCUUGAAGACACAAACUUUGGAAAGAUUUUUGGAAGGACCAGACAGAGAUAAGGAGAGUUCAGGUGAGUCUUCCAGCAAGCAGAAUAAGGGGGCAUUCUGGAUAUGAAAGGUUUCAAUUAAUCAAGCCAUUCUCCAAUUGAUAAAUGGUCAAAGGAUAUGAACAGACAAUUCUCAGAUGAAGAAAUUAAAACUAUUUCUAGCCAUAUGAAAAGAUGCUCCAAGUCAUUAUCAAUCAGAGAAAUGCAAAUUAAGACAACUCUGAGAUACCACUACACACCUGUCAGAUUGGCUAGAAUGACAGGGAAAGAUAAUGCGGAAUGUUGGAGGGGAUGUGGGAAAACAGGGACACUGAUACGUUGUUGGUGGAAUUGUGAAUAUAUCCAGCCAUUCUGGAGAGCAAUUUGGAACUAUGCUCAAAAAACUAUCAAACUGUGAUAACCUUUAUCUAGUGAUAACAUUUGAUGUUACUGCUGGGCUUAUAUCCCAAAGAGAUCAUAAGGAAGGGAAAAGGACCUGUAUGUGCACGAAUGUUUGUGGCAGCCCUGUUUAUAGUGGUUAGAAACUGGAAACUGAGUAGAUGCCCAUCAUUUGGAGAAUGGCUGAAUAAAUUGUGGUAUAUGAAUGUUAUGGAAUAUUAUUGUUCGGUAAGAAAUGACCAGCAGGAGGAUUUCAGAAAGGCCUGGAGAGACAUACAUGAACUGAUGCUGAGUGAAACGAGCAGGGCCAGGAGAUCAUUAUAUACUUCAACAACAAUAUUAUAUGAUGAUCAAUUUUGAUUGACCUGGCCAUCCUCAGCAAUGAGAUGAACCAAACCAGUUCCAAUGGAGCAGUAAUGAACUGAACCAGCUACGCCCAGGAAAGAACUCUGGGAGAUGACUAAGAACCAUUACAUUGAAUUCCCCAUCCCUAUAUUUUUGCCUGCCAGCAUUUUGGAUUUCCUUCACAGGCUAAUUGUACAAUAUUUCAGAGUCCGAAUCUUUUUGUAACAAAGUAACAGUUUGGUCAUGUAUACUUAUUGUGUAUCUAAUUUAUACUUUAAUAUAUUUAGCAUCUACUGGUCAUCCUGCCACCUAGGGGAGGGGGUGGGAGGAAUGAGGGAAAAAAUUGGAACAAAAGGUUUGGCAAUUGUCAAUGCUGUAAAAUUACCCGUGUAUAUAACUUGUAAAUAAAAAGCUAUUAAAAAUAUUUAUAUUAAAAAAAAUAAAAUUAUUUACAGUAGGGCAAAAAAAAAAAAAAAAAAAAAGAAAGGUUUCAAUCCAGGCAUUUGGCCUUUGGAAUAUGUCUUGUCAGGAAUAAAAAGUUAAAGUGGCUCCCUCAAA